UUCCGUUGAUCCUGCGGAAGGUCGCUGCUAUUUGGGUUCGACUAAGCCAUGCAAGUCAGAGGGUCUCUUCGGAGGCACAGGCAGACUGCUCAGUAACACGUCAAUAACCUACCCUUAGGUCUGGUAUAACCUUGGAAAACUGAGGCUAAAACCGGAUAUGAGAAAAUAAUUGGAAAAUAUCUUCUCUGAAAAGCAAUGCCUAUGGAUGGGUUGGCGGCUGAUUAGGUUGUUGGCGGUGCAAAGGACCACCAAGCCGAUGAUCAGUACGGGCCUUGAGAGAGGUGGCCCGGAGAAGGGCACUGAGAUACUGGCCCUAGCCCUACGGGGUGCAGCAGGCGCGAAACCUUUACAAUGCACGAAAGUGUGAUAAGGGAACCCAAAGUGCCUUGUUUUACAAGGCUUUUGCCAAGAGUAAAUACCUUGGCGAAUAAGUGGUGGGUAAGACUGGUGCCAGCCGCCGCGGUAACACCAGCGCCACGAGUGGGGAUCACGAUUAUUGGGCCUAAAGCGUCCGUAGCCGGUUUGACAAAUCUUUUGUGAAAUUGUUAGGCUUAACCUAGCAACGUGCAGAAGACACUAUCAGACUUGGAACCGGGAGGAGUUAGGAGUAUGUCUGGGGGAGCGGUAAAAUGUUAUAAUCCCAGAUAGACUACCUGUGGCGAAGGCGCCUAACUAGAACGGGUUCGACGGUCAGGGACGAAAGCGAGGGGAUCAAUCCGGAUUAGAUACCCGAGUAGUCCUCGCUGUAAACGCUGUGAGCAAGGUGUUACACAUUCUUCGCGAAUGUGUAGUGUCGAAACGAAGGUGUUAAGCUCACCGCCUGGGAAGUACGGUCGCAAGACUGAAACUUAAAGGAAUUGGCGGGGGAGCACCACAAGGGGUGCGGCGUGCGGUUUAAUCUAAUUCAACGCAGAGAAUCUCACCAGCAGCGACGGCAGGAUGAAAGUCAGUCUGAAGGGCUUACUAGACAAGCCGAGAGGUAGUGCAUGGCCGCCGUCAGCUCGUGCCGUAAGGUGUCCUGUUAAGUCAGGCAACGAGCAAGACCUGUACCUACAAUUGCUAACGACCAUUUUAAUGUGAUCGAACACAUUGUAGGAACUGCCCGUGAAAACGGGAGGAAGGUGCAGGCAACGGUAGGUCUGUAUGCUCCGAAUCUGCUGGGCUACACGCGCGCAACAAUGGUAGGAACAAUGGGCUGCAACUUCGAAAGAAGAAGCUAAUCCUCUAAAUCCUAUCUCAGUUUAGAUUGAGGAUUGUAACUCAUCCUCAUGACAAUGGAAUCCCUAGUAAUCGGAUCUUAUCAUAAUCCGGUGAAUAUGUCCCUGCUCCUUGCACACACCGCCCGUCAAACCACCCGAGUAGUGUUUAGAUGAGGCCCAAUUUUUAAUUGGCUCGAAUCUAAACUCAGCGAGGAGGGUUAAGUCGUCACAAGGUA
RNAcentral lists this ribosomal RNA (1435 nucleotides) under metagenome. RNAcentral describes it as "bacterial SSU rRNA". It matches the Rfam family "Archaeal small subunit ribosomal RNA". The record is from RNAcentral.